This is a long non-coding RNA of Clupea harengus (Atlantic herring), 3623 nucleotides long. The record is from Ensembl. Lineage: Eukaryota; Metazoa; Chordata; Actinopteri; Clupeiformes; Clupeidae.
CGUCGCAGCUUUAUGAUGGACAGCCGCCGUGUAACGUGACGCGACCGCAGAAGCACAGGUGAUGUCUGGGGAUGAGUGGCAUUGAACUACAAGCAGUCCGCUAGUGAAAGUCUCUAGACUCCGACCUGUACCACGCAAUGGCGGAUUUAGCUGUAAAUAAAUAGUAACGACAAUCAUUGACUCUACAGUAGCCAUGGCGACGGUGACCAAAUGUUCAAGUCAUUAAUGUUUCGUUGUAGCAUACCAGUACCUAUUUUAGCAGCAUCAAAGUAGAGUUAUUUGUAUGCAAUUAUUUCUUGACUUUUAUUAUAUGCACCUCGGAAACAAUACGGGUGUCUGGACCUCGGUGACCUCAUUGUUGGGUACGUUCAUGAAGACAGUUACAAAAUGAAAAGCAUGCCAACACAGAAUUUUCCAAUGGGUGGCGCUGUUGUAAUCCUAUAGGAGAGGAUAACGUUCCACUGGAUGAUUGGUAAAUCGUUAUUGACCUAAAUAAUUGUAAAUCUCUUACCCACUGUCAUUCCAUGGGAACAGUUAGCCGUUAUAUUAUCUUGAAAUAGCGUACUGCCAUUUAUCAGACUUACAUUUCCAGCGAUGGGAUCAGGACACAAAUUAUGCAUAAUCUAGACUAGGUGUAACCACAAGCAGCCUAUUUAUUAAUCAGACUUCAAAGAGUCUACACUCCCACACACCUUCACCUCAUGUUUUUAUGCUUACGAGUUAUAAAGUAAAACAAUUUACAGAUCUCGAAUAGACAAACAAUAAGCUAAAUAAUUGACCAAAGAGAUCUGGGGACGAACUUCAAAGGAUAUUUUCAAAGUUAAUUUUAGAACACGAGAUAUUUGGAUGUCAAUAGAUUUCUGACAUUCCGUUAUGUAGGCCAAGCAUCUGGGCUAUACAUCAUUUCAAUGAUAACAAAUGACAUUCGUUCUUAAACGCGUCGAGUUACAUUUUAUUCCGAUGUGAUUUCCAAAUAAAAGAAACCGCCUGGGGUUCGUGGACGCGCGCUCCAUUCGCUUAUGCUCGUCCACGUCUUUAUGGGAAAGUCUCAAUGGAAAAGUCUUUCCCUUCUGGAUUAGCUGGAGAAGCUAGCUAGCUAAAUAGUUUCAGUUCCAGGUCUGACAAGAAAACCAACACUAAUGGGGGACAUUUAGUGCCAUAUGUGGAUAUGUCAUUACCGCUCAUUUUAAGCUGCUUUUCAUGCUAAGGUAUCCAUUUUUGCUCCGUUUAGACUGGACUGAGGCGUAGCGUAGCUUGCUACAGAUACUAACAGCUGGAUGGUGGAUACUUUAUGCUAAGCUAACGACAGCCUAUUGCGGUCUGUCUUGUCUCGGUAGUUAGCUAACUAUCGUAGCAUAACAUUUAGCUUCCUCAAUGUUUUUAAGGGGUGCACACGGUCUUGAAGAGCACUGAAGUAUUAAGAUGUUAUUUAAACCAACCUCUGGUUCUUUCGUCGCCUGUGGUUCGUGAUAAUGCGACGUUUUGGUGUGAACUGGGGAGCCUUUUGGAUUUGGAAUAGCGGUAACUUCGCUGUGAAAUGCUAAUGUUGCUGAAUCCACUUUAAAAUAAGGUGAGUACACAGAGUGUUAAAAUCACGUGGCGAAUUUUUUCUAAUAAGUUUUGUUUAUGUUUUGUGGUACAUAAUACCUCUGCAUGUGCAUAGGCAGACAUGGGUAUGCGUUGGAAGCCAUGUGCGUAGAUUACAUACAGGGACACACACACACACACACACACACACACAUUCAUAUACACUCAUAUGCAUGCCCGCACCCUUACAUAGAUUUAUGGUGUGUGCGGUUCAGGCAAGUCUCUGAUCUGUGGUAUUCAGAAGAAUAUGUGUGGAGGCAACGACGUUCAUAGCUGAUGAGUGCCCAGGCAAGCGGUGAGCUCGCCCUUGCAUGUACGCUCGCACGGGCACUCUUCCCUCCGCACCACCUCGCAACGGCAAGUCUACUCGUGAACGUUUGCUGGCAAGCUAGUCCAUAUAAACAUAACACACACACACAAACACACACACUACAGAUCACGGUAUGGCUACGUGUUGGCUGACUCAGACUCGUUCACACACACAGAAUCUGUCUGUUUCUCAUCCAGUGUCAUUUUUUCAUCACCCCAUUGGUUUGGGUUAGACACAGAGUGUACUUACACUUACAUACUGUCUCUUACACGACAAAUACAUAUUUAUCAGAAUUAUUGCACUACCUGCUACUCCCAUUUGUCUGUAGUUUAGUUUAUUAUAUGUUACUAUAUGUGUAUUAUAUGUUAUAUGUAUAUAUGUUAGUAUUAUAUGUAUAGGUUGGUAUAUGUUUUAGCAUAUUGUAUAUUUAGUAAGGUUAUUAUAUAUGUUAUUACAUGUAAAUUAUGUUCAGAGUACUUGUACAGAGUGUAUGUUAUGUUAUGUUAUGUUAUGUUAUGUUAUGCUAUGUUAUGCUAUGUUAUGCUAUGGUAGGUUGUUGUGUGGUGCCUUGUCCUAAGAAUUUCAGUGCCCAGUCUGACCCUGUGUCAUUCUGUGCAUCUGACAAUAAAAGACUUGUAACUUGUAACAGAGUGUGAACUCAUGACUCGGGGUCAGUAGAGUAGUCACAGGGAGGAAACCCAGUCAGAUGCUUAACCCAUUGCCUUGGUGAUUCUAGAGUUUUAAGGUUGUGUGUCCUGGGCGCUAGCUACUAGUAACAUCAGUAGGAGUAGUGAUGGUGAUGAUGGUGAUGGUGAUGGUGGUGAUGGUGAUGUUUCAGGUGUGCUCUGUGGGUACUCCAAACAGGAUAUGAGCAACACACACGUACAGUAAGGAUAUGAGCUACACACUCGUAUAUGAGCUACACACUCGUACACUAAGGAUAUGAGCUACACACUCGUACACUAAGGAUAUGAACUACACACUCGUACAGUAAGGAUAUGAACUACACACUCGUAUAUGAGCUACACACUCGUACACUAAGGAUAUGAACUACACACGCGUAUAUGAGCUACACACUCGUACACUAAGGAUAUGAGCUACACACUCGUACACUAAGGAUAUGAACUACACACUCGUACACUAAGUAUAUGAACAACACACUCGUACAGUAAGGAUAUGAACUACACACUCGUACACUAAGGAUAUGAACUACACACUCGUACACACACACACACUGACAACAGUACACUAAGGAUAUGAGCUUCAUCUGUUUAAUUUUCAGUCAAAUCUCACCCCCUGAGCAUGCAAACAUCCACAGGCGCACACACACACACACACACACACACAUAUACUGAUAAACAUUCGCACACAUACACACACAUACUGACAAACAUGCAUGCACAUACACACACACAUACACACACACAUACAUGUACCCACGAAUGUGGAUGCCAAGAUAAUGUAGGGUUGAAAUUGCCUUUCACUUUCCGUACUAAGUAGCUAAACAAGCAUAAGCUUGAGCAUAAGGAGCCGAACAGACAUAAGCUCUUUACGAUUGGUUUGGUUAAGGUAAUGGUUGACCAUGAUUGGUUGGGUUAUGGUUGACAGCGAUUGGUUUGGUUAGGGUAAUGGUUGACCAUGAUUGGUUGGGUUAUGGUUGACACUGCGAUUGGUUUGGUUAGGGUAAUGGUUGACUCAACCAGUCACUGCAGCCAGAGAGAGAGAG